Small nucleolar RNA from Tachyglossus aculeatus (Australian echidna), 138 nucleotides. The record is from RefSeq and is a predicted model, not a curated record. NCBI's taxonomy places the organism in Eukaryota, Metazoa, Chordata, Mammalia, Monotremata, Tachyglossidae.
CCACUCUCAGGGUCAGGCCUGGAGAGUUACCAGUACUCUACCAGUCUCAACUGCAAGAGGGAGAGUCACACAGAGGUAUACCCAUUCCAUUUCUAGCUUGGCCAGUGGCUAGUGAGUGGAAGGCAAUCUGCUACAAGU